This 744-nucleotide long non-coding RNA is filed under the name Felis catus (domestic cat). Its description in RNAcentral is "lncRNA (ENSFCAG00000048584.1)". Lineage: Eukaryota; Metazoa; Chordata; Mammalia; Carnivora; Felidae. The record is from RNAcentral.
CAAGAUUCAUGACAAUCUGACUUGAAUCUCCUUUUCCACUGUCAUCUUACCUCCUUAUUCAAGGUAUGCUUCAGUCACUGUAGGAGUCUUAUUUAUGUUCCUUGAACACAUCCUUUUUUUUUUUUUUUUUUUUUUUUUUCAUUUUCUCUGUUGGUUUCUCUGCUGUUUUGAGCUUCUUAUUCUGUAUCUUGAACUUGAAUAUUGACAUUAAUCUCACAAUUUUAAAUUACGAUAUUCUUACUUUGGCAGGCUAUUACCCAUUGACAUACUUGCAUAAAACACAUUUUCUAACACUCUGUUAGCUGUUGGGUAUAAUUAACCAAUAAAGGCAAAGAAUGAUGGUAAGAUCUCUUUCUCUGAUUUUAGAUUCUGCCUACUUUUUGGUGAAGGGAACUCUUGUUCUGUUUCCCAUUGUAUUUUCAUAUUUGCUCCCUUAUCCUUUUCUAUUGGCAUGACUUUUUCUGUCAGCUGCAUUCAGGUCAUAUUUCCUGUAUCACCACUCUGGCAACUAGCAAUUCUCUGUUCUUCUCCAACUGUGGUUAUGCAGAGAUUGGUGGCAUUGACUUUUGGGGGCCAGGCCAAAUGGAUUUCUGUGUCUGUUGGAAUGGACUUAUUUUUGGAAAACACAAGAAGGUGACAUUAGAAGGCAGUAAGUGAAAAAAUUCCUUUUCCCUGUUUUAUUUCUCCUCCUAUGUGAAAAUAGAGGAAAUUGUGCUAAAAAUAAAUAUUUCAACUUCCCACUCA